AAUUUUGUUAAAUUUUUGCCAACAUCUCUCAUCACACUUUUUAAACAUUAAAAAAAUUAAAAAAAUUAAAAAAAAAUUAAAACAAGAAAAAAAAAAGAAAAA
This 102-nucleotide ribosomal RNA is filed under the name Corethron hystrix. RNAcentral's name for it is "partial Trypanosomatid mitochondrial large subunit ribosomal RNA". The record is from RNAcentral. Lineage: Eukaryota; Bacillariophyta; Corethrophyceae; Corethrales; Corethraceae.